This 416-nucleotide ribosomal RNA is filed under the name uncultured bacterium. RNAcentral's name for it is "bacterial SSU rRNA". It matches the Rfam family "Bacterial small subunit ribosomal RNA", at positions 355 to 786 of the family's 1533-position model. The record is from RNAcentral.
UCGGGAAUAUUGCGCAAUGGAGGAAACUCUGACGCAGUGACGCCGCGUAUAGGAAGAAGGUUUUCGGAUUGCAAACUAUUGUCGUUAGGGAAGAGAAAGGACAGUACCUAAGGAGGAAGCUCCGGCUAACUACGUGCCAGCAGCCGCGGUAAUACGUAGGGAGCGAGCGUUAUCCGGAAUUAUUGGGGUGUAAAGGGUGCGUAGACGGGAGAACUAGUUAGUUGUGAAAUACCUCGGCUCAACUGAGGAACUGCAACUAAAACUGUACUUCUUGAGUGCAGGAGAGGUAAGUGGAAUUCCUAGUGUAGCGGUGAAAUGCGUAGAUAUUAGGAGGAACACCAGUGGCGAAGGCGACUUACUGGACUGUAACUGACGUUGAGGCACGAAAGUGUGGGGAGCAAACAGGAUUAGAUACC